This 369-nucleotide ribosomal RNA is filed under the name uncultured Rikenellaceae bacterium. RNAcentral describes it as "bacterial SSU rRNA". It matches the Rfam family "Bacterial small subunit ribosomal RNA", at positions 1013 to 1382 of the family's 1533-position model. Lineage: Bacteria; Pseudomonadati; Bacteroidota; Bacteroidia; Bacteroidales; Rikenellaceae. The record is from RNAcentral.
GCGCCAGCGAUGGACCGCUUGCGAGGUGCUGCAUGGUUGUCGUCAGCUCGUGCCGUGAGGUGUCGGGUUAAGUCCCAUAACGAGCGCAACCCCUACUGCUAGUUGCCAGCGGGUCAUGCCGGGGACUCUAGCGGAACUGCCAGCGUAAGCUGCGAGGAAGGUGGGAAGACGUCAAAUCAGCACGGCCCUUACGUCCAGGGCUACACACGUGUUACAAUGGCCAGUACAGAGGGCAGCCACCCCGCGAGGGGGCGCUAAUCCUAAAAGCUGGUCCCAGUUCGGAUCGGAGUCUGCAACCCGACUCCGUGAAGCUGGAUUCGCUAGUAAUCGCGCAUCAGCCACGGCGCGGUGAAUACGUUCCCGGGCCUU